AGGAUGAACGCUGGCGGCGUGCCUAACACAUGCAAGUCGAACGUCCUGUCUCGCAAGAGGCAGGGAGUGGCGGACGGGUGAGUACCACGUGGGUCAUCUACCGUGAGGUGAGGAAUACCGGCGAGAAAUCGCCGACAAGACCGCAUAGGCUCGAUGCAAGUCGAGCAAAGCUCUCUCGAGAGAGGGAGCGCCACACGAGGAGCCUGCGCCCGAUUAGCUAGCUGGUGGAGUAAUGGUUCACCAGGGCGACGAUCGGUAGCUGGUCUGAGAGGACGAUCAGCCACACUGGGAUUGAGAACGGCCCAGACUCCUACGGGGGGCAGCAGUGAGGAAUUUUCGUCAAUGGGGGCAACCCUGAACGAGCAACGCCGCGUGCAGGAAGAAGGUUUUCGGAUCGUAAACUGCUUUUCUCGGGGAAGAGAAUGGACGGUACCCGAGGAAUCGAGCCCCGGCUAACUACGUGCCAGCAGCCGC
This 474-nucleotide ribosomal RNA is filed under the name uncultured bacterium. RNAcentral's name for it is "SSU rRNA". It matches the Rfam family "Bacterial small subunit ribosomal RNA", at positions 26 to 518 of the family's 1533-position model. The record is from RNAcentral.